CAGUCGCCACGGUAAUACGGAAGGUCCAGGUGUUAUCCGGAUUUAUUGGGUUUAAAGGGAGCGUAGGCCGCAGGUUAAGUGUGUUGUGAAAAGCAGUCGCCCAACGUCUGCCUUGCAGCGCAAACUGUCCUGCUUGAGUGCGCACAACGCAGGCGGAAUUCGUCGUGUAGCGGUGAAAUGCUUAGAUAUGACGAAGAACUCCGAUUGCGAAGGCAGCUUGCGGGAGCGCAACUGACGCUGAAGCUCGAAAGUGCGGGUAUCGAACAGGAUUAGAUACCCGUGUAGUCCCUGUCUCUUAUAU
Molecule: ribosomal RNA, 301 nt
Filed under: uncultured bacterium
Lineage: Bacteria
Description: partial 16S ribosomal RNA
Rfam family: Bacterial small subunit ribosomal RNA
Source: RNAcentral